RNAcentral lists this unclassified non-coding RNA (201 nucleotides) under Hevea brasiliensis (rubber tree). Lineage: Eukaryota; Viridiplantae; Streptophyta; Magnoliopsida; Malpighiales; Euphorbiaceae. The record is from RNAcentral.
AAAAGAAGGAUCAGCACCAUACAGGAUAAGUGCCAUAACGCUCAAUCCACUCAUUUGCGGGGACCAGAAAAUAGAUGCUUGAACAAUACAAACCUAAUGGGUCGAACAGGAAUUAUCUGUCACAGAGUUGCUUCCAACAUUUGGGUGCCAAGACGUAAACAAAUUAGGGUAUGAGAAGUAUGACUCAUCAUCCAUUGAAGG